Dermochelys coriacea (leatherback sea turtle) is the source of this 941-nucleotide long non-coding RNA. RefSeq lists it as uncharacterized. The record is from RefSeq and is a predicted model, not a curated record. The transcript has 2 exons. NCBI's taxonomy places the organism in Eukaryota, Metazoa, Chordata, Testudines, Dermochelyidae.
CACCCCGCAGCUUGAGGUGGGGGCAGCGUGCGGAGUCCCUGUGUCCACCUCUGUGCCUAGGAGCUGGAGGGACAUGCCGACCGCUUCCAGGAGCCGCACGGAGGCUGCCUGCCCUGCUGGCGCUGCGGCCAACCAGACUUUUAGUGACCUGGUCAGCUGUGGUGACCGGAGCCACCAAGGUCCCUUUUAGACCAGGUGUUCCUGUCGAAAACUAGACGCAUGGCAACCCUAAACGGAGCCUUCCUUCCAUGGUAGAAGACGCAUCAUAAAUUAUUGUAAUGUAGUAUAUCCUUGGUUUGGGGGAAAAUCUGUCAGAUUUACCAGUCCACCCCAUUUCUUCCCAUGAUGGUGGGUCCCUGAAGAGCCAGCACAGGUGAGCUUUCAUGUGGAAAGGAGGAGGAGCACCCUUCCCCCCAUUCUCUGUGUUCUCUGGCCAGAUCUGCACUCUCAGAAUCAGAGAUUGGGAAAUUGAGGUAGAGAGGUAAAGUGACUUGCCCAAGGUUGCAGAAGAAUCCGCUGUCAGAGAUGGGGUAGAAGGACCUGAUUCCACUCCUGUUCUCCGAAGAGAGCUCUCUCUAAAUUUUGCAGCAGGAUCUAUGGCUUAGGUUCUUUUCUGCACUGAGAUCCUCUCAGCGCAAGUUGGGUGGAACUCCCUGGUUAUCAUGGUGUAUCUGCCCUAUUUCCAGUUACCUUUACAAUGGAUUCUGCUACUCUGAUUUGUGACAGCGGGCAGUGAUUCCUGAGGUCACUAAUUUAGGUGCCUGGUUGUGGAUUUAGGAGCCUAACUUUAGGCACCCAGUUUGGGUUAAAGUGUUUUUGUUUGCAUCUCCCAACCCCCACUUCUUCUUGUUUUCAUCAAAGCCAUACUUUGGAGAGUUGAAAGAUGGUUUGUAAUGCUGAUUGGAGCAGUAUCAUCAUAAAAUGCAAAUAUGCCUGAAGUU